RNAcentral lists this ribosomal RNA (522 nucleotides) under uncultured archaeon. RNAcentral describes it as "bacterial SSU rRNA". It matches the Rfam family "Archaeal small subunit ribosomal RNA", at positions 325 to 849 of the family's 1478-position model. The record is from RNAcentral.
ACGGGGUGCAGCAGGCGCGAAAACUUUGCAAUGUGCGAAAGCACGACAAGGUUAAUCCGAGUGAUUUGUGCUAAACGAAUCUUUUGUUAGUCCUAGAACCACUAACGAAUAAGGGGUGGGCAAGUUCUGGUGUCAGCCGCCGCGGUAAAACCAGCACCUCAAGUGGUCAGGAUGAUUAUUUGGCCUAAAGCGUCCGUAGCUGGCCCUGUAAAUCUCUCGUUAAAUCCAACGUCCUAAGCGUUGGGCUGCGAGGGAAACUGCAGAGCUAGAGGGUGGGAGAGGUCAGCGGUAUUCCUGGGGUAGGGGCGAAAUCCAUUGAUCCCAGGAGGACCACCAGUGGCGAAGGCUGCUGACUUGAACACGCCUGACAGUGAGGGACGAAAGCUGGGGUAGCGAAUCGGAUUAGAUACCCGAGUAGUCCCAGCCGUAAACGAUGCAGGCUAGGUGUUGGGUCGGCCAUGUGCUGGCUCAGUGCCACAGGGAAGCCAUUAAGCCUGCCGCCUGGGAGUACGACCGCAAGGC